This 233-nucleotide ribosomal RNA is filed under the name uncultured eukaryote. RNAcentral describes it as "partial large subunit ribosomal RNA". The record is from RNAcentral.
CUGUUGCAGGGCUCCAGGGAUAAGAGCUCCCUGCUACUGCGGUUGCACCAAUACUUACGCUCUGGCCAAAGCAGAUGAUCUGAUUGCCGGCCACAUUUGCAUUGGGUAGCGGGUUGACCGUAACAACAACGGAAUUGACAUUCACACAACCAUUGCUGUUGGUUUCAGUUACCGUAUAGUUUGUUGUAGAAGCUGGUGUAGCCGUCGGAUUGGAGACCGAUAGCGCACAAGUA